This 403-nucleotide ribosomal RNA is filed under the name bacterium. Its description in RNAcentral is "partial 16S ribosomal RNA". It matches the Rfam family "Bacterial small subunit ribosomal RNA", at positions 355 to 776 of the family's 1533-position model. The record is from RNAcentral.
UGGGGAAUAUUGCACAAUGGGGGAAACCCUGAUGCAGCGACGCCGCGUGAACGAAGAAGGUAUUCGUAUCGUAAAGUUCUGUCCUAUGGGAAGAUAAUGACAGUACCAUAGAAGAAAGCUCCGGCUAAAUACGUGCCAGCAGCCGCGGUAAUACGUAUGGAGCGAGCGUUGUCCGGAAUUAUUGGGCGUAAAGGGUACGCAGGCGGUUUAAUAAGUCGAAUGUUAAAGAUCGGGGCUCAACCCCGCAAAGCAUUGGAAACUGAUAAACUUGAGUAGUGGAGAUGAAAGUGGAAUUCCUAGUGUAGUGGUGAAAUACGUAGAUAUUAGGAGGAAUACCAGUAGCGAAGGCGACUUUCUGGACACAAACUGACGCUGUGGUACGAAAGCGUGGGGAGCAAACAGG